Molecule: transfer RNA, 69 nt
Filed under: Balaeniceps rex (shoebill)
Lineage: Eukaryota; Metazoa; Chordata; Aves; Pelecaniformes; Balaenicipitidae
Also listed under: 1 other name
Rfam family: tRNA
About the family: Transfer RNA (tRNA) molecules are approximately 80 nucleotides in length. Their secondary structure includes four short double-helical elements and three loops (D, anti-codon, and T loops).
Source: Rfam by way of RNAcentral
CGGAGAGUAGUUUAGUUAGAAUACCAGCUUUGGGAGUUGGUGGUAAAGGUUUGACUCCUUUCUCUCUGA